Molecule: ribosomal RNA, 664 nt
Filed under: uncultured bacterium
Lineage: Bacteria
Description: bacterial SSU rRNA
Rfam family: Bacterial small subunit ribosomal RNA (bases 1-538)
Source: RNAcentral
CCUACGGGAGGCAGCAGUAAGGAAUAUUGGUCAAUGGAGGCAACUCUGAACCAGCCAUGCCGCGUGCAGGAAGAAGGCCCUAUGGGUCGUAAACUGCUUUUGCACCAGAGAAAACCCGAGUACGUGUACUCGGUUGAUAGUAUGGUAAGAAUAAGCAUCGGCUAACUUCGUGCCAGCAGCCGCGGUAAGACGAAGGAUGCAAGCGUUAUCCGGAUUCAUUGGGUUUAAAGGGUGCGUAGGCGGACUGAUAAGUCAGUGGUGAAAUCUCUCGGCUUAACCGAGAAACUGCCAUUGAUACUGUUAGUCUAGAGUAUAGAUGACGUUGGCGGAAUAUGACAUGUAGUGGUGAAAUACUUAGAUAUGUCAUAGAACACCGAUUGCGAAGGCAGCUAACGAAACUAUAACUGACGCUGAGGCACGAAAGUGCGGGGAUCAAACAGGAUUAGAUACCCUGGUAGUCCGCACCGUAAACGAUGAUUACUCGUUGUUGGCAAAUAUNUACGUCAGCGACCGACGACGAAGACGAGAAGUAAGUACCUAACCGUACGGGUAGGGUUACGGACCGGGCCGGACCGGGUUACGGUAACGUUAACCGAAACGGAAAGUUAGGUUACGGGACGGUUGGAGGACGACGCCGACGGACGACGACGACGGGAGGAGGAGG